RNAcentral lists this ribosomal RNA (490 nucleotides) under uncultured bacterium. RNAcentral's name for it is "partial 16S ribosomal RNA". It matches the Rfam family "Bacterial small subunit ribosomal RNA", at positions 30 to 507 of the family's 1533-position model. The record is from RNAcentral.
AUUGAACGCUGGCGGCAGGCCUAACACAUGCAAGUCGAACGGUAACAGGAAGAAGCUUGCUUCUUUGCUGACGAGUGGCGGACGGGUGAGUAAUGUCUGGGAAACUGCCUGAUGGAGGGGGAUAACUACUGGAAACGGUAGCUAAUACCGCAUAACGUCUCAAGCCCAAAGAGGGGGACCUUCGGGCCUCUUGCCAUCGGAUGUGCCCAGAUGGGAUUAGCUAGUAGGUGGGGUAACGGCUCACCUAGGCGACGAUCCCUAGCUGGUCUGAGAGGAUGACCAGCCACACUGGAACUGAGACACGGUCCAGACUCCUACGGGAGGCAGCAGUGGGGAAUAUUGCACAAUGGGCGAAAGCCUGAUGCAGCCAUGCCGCGUGUAUGAAGAAGGCCUUCGGGUUGUAAAGUACUUUCAGCGGGGAGGAAGGGAGUAAAGUUAAUACCUUUGCUCAUUGACGUUACCCGCAGAAGAAGCACCGGCUAACUCCGUG